Molecule: long non-coding RNA, 605 nt
Organism: Chelonia mydas (Green sea turtle)
Lineage: Eukaryota; Metazoa; Chordata; Testudines; Cheloniidae
Exons: 5
Source: RefSeq, a predicted model, not a curated record
UGGUUUCUUGGGGCGCCGGGGGGGGGGCGAGGCGGCAGCGUCCGUGCUGGGGAGGGACGGACGGAUAGACAGACAGCCGGGACACGCGCUUGGUUUGUUAGUGUAGGGCCCCAGGUGCCACAGGGAUAGGCAGCUUCUUCAGACCCCUGACCUGCGCUCAGCCCCCCUCCCUGCGGAAGCCCUGCGGCGGCAACCCCGAGAGGUUCUACCCCAGCCAGUGUCUGCAGAGGAGAUGCUGCCACGCCAACGGCACCUGCUACCACCGCGCCACCGAUGCGCCCCGCCAGCGCCGGAACGCCGGGAUCCUGGGGGGGAUCUGCGUGGGGGCCGCCGGGCUGUUCCUUUGCGUCUGCGUCGCCUGCAGGCUGAAGGGCAGCCGGGCGGCAGGGAAGGAGGCGGGGGAACCAAAAUCAAAGUCGGAUGCAGAGUUGGCUGAUUAUCUGAUGAAGCUGCUGGAGGAGAGCGACCAGGAGGAAGAGGAGAGGAUGGAGCCUAGGGAGGAAGAGCCAAAAGAAGGGGGGGAGUAGGGACAGGCUGGGGGGCAGCUGCCCCACCCCCACCUGGACUGCUGCACCCCUCACACAAUAAAGGGUUAAUUUUUUCCA